GAUGAACGCUGGCGGCGUGCCUAAUACAUGCAAGUCGAGCGCAGGAAGCCGUCUGAACCCUUCGGGGGGACGACGGUGGAAUGAGCGGCGGACGGGUGAGUAACACGUAAAGAACCUGCCCAUAGGUCUGGGAUAACCACGAGAAAUCGGGGCUAAUACCGGAUGUGUCAUCGGACCGCAUGGUCCGAUGAUGAAAGGCGCUCCGGCGUCGCCCAUGGAUGGCUUUGCGGUGCAUUAGCUAGUUGGUGAGGUAACGGCCCACCAAGGCGACGAUGCAUAGCCGACCUGAGAGGGUGAUCGGCCACACUGGGACUGAGACACGGCCCAGACUCCUACGGGAGGCAGCAGUAGGGAAUCUUCCACAAUGGACGAAAGUCUGAUGGGGCAACGCCGCGUGAACGAUGAAGGCUUUCGGGUCGUAAAGUUCUGUUGUAAGGGAAGAACAAGUGCCGCAGGCAAUGGCGGCACCUUGACGGUACCUUGCGAGAAAGCCACGGCUAACUACGUGCCAGCCGCCGCCGUAA
RNAcentral lists this ribosomal RNA (524 nucleotides) under uncultured bacterium. RNAcentral's name for it is "partial 16S ribosomal RNA". It matches the Rfam family "Bacterial small subunit ribosomal RNA", at positions 28 to 523 of the family's 1533-position model. The record is from RNAcentral.